UACGUAGGGUGCGAGCGUUGUCCGGAAUUACUGGGCGUAAAGAGCUCGUAGGUGGUUUGUCGCGUUGUUCGUGAAAACUCACAGCUUAACUGUGGGCGUGCGGGCGAUACGGGCAGACUGGAGUACUGCAGGGGAGACUGGAAUUCCUGGUGUAGCGGUGGAAUGCGCAGAUAUCAGGAGGAACACCGGUGGCGAAGGCGGGUCUCUGGGCAUUACCUGACGCUGAGGAGCGAAAGUGUGGGGAGCGAACAGG
This 253-nucleotide ribosomal RNA is filed under the name uncultured bacterium. RNAcentral describes it as "partial 16S ribosomal RNA". It matches the Rfam family "Bacterial small subunit ribosomal RNA", at positions 524 to 776 of the family's 1533-position model. The record is from RNAcentral.